AUGGCUCAGGACGAACGCUGGCGGCGUGCCUAAUACAUGCAAGUCGAACGGUCUUUCUAUGGAAGCUUGCUUCCACUGAGAAGAUAGUGGCGAACGGGUGAGUAACACGUGGGUAACCUGCCCAUAAGAGGGGGGAUAACAUCCGGAAACGGGUGCUAAUACCGCAUAGUUUUCUUGAUCGCAUGAUCGGGAAAGGAAAGACGGCCUUUGUGCUGUCGCUUAUGGAUGGACCCGCGGCGUAUUAGUUAGUUGGUGAGGUAACGGCUCACCAAGACGAUGAUACGUAGCCGACCUGAGAGGGUGAUCGGCCACAUUGGGACUGAGACACGGCCCAAACUCCUACGGGAGGCAGCAGUAGGGAAUCUUCCGCAAUGGACGAAAGUCUGACGGGGCAACGCCGCGUGAGUGAAGAAAGGUUUUCGGAUCGUAAAACUCUGUUGUCAGAGAAGAACAAGUUGGAGAGUAACUGCUCCAGCCUUGACGGUAUCUGACCAGAAAGCCACGGCUAACUACGUGCCAGCCGCAGC
This 527-nucleotide ribosomal RNA is filed under the name uncultured bacterium. RNAcentral describes it as "bacterial SSU rRNA". It matches the Rfam family "Bacterial small subunit ribosomal RNA", at positions 19 to 518 of the family's 1533-position model. The record is from RNAcentral.